UAUUUCUUAUGCACUCAAGAUGUUUGAAAAAAUGCCUAAUAGAAUGACAAAAAAAAGUGGAUUUAUAAUUAAUAAUAUUCUAAUAUAUAUAUAUACACUUAUAAGCUUUAUUUAGGCAUGAGUUUAAUCUCUCUAUUUUUCUGAGUUCUAUAGAUAUUAUAUAUAUAACUCUUCUUUGUUUUGACUACUAUUAUAUAAAUUAAUUUGUUCAUUUACUUUUUUUGGCAGAGGAAGAUUAAAUUAUCAUAUAUAAAGCUCAGGUGUAGUUUUAGAAGUGGAAGAGAGUAGCUUUGGGCCUUAUCACCAGCAUAUAUAGCCUUCUUUGUGGUUAUAGAUUGGAAACAGAGGAAUUGUAGCUGUUGGAGAGAAUUGCAAGUCCCUGACAGAUCUUAGCCUUCGAUUUUGUGAUAGGGUCGGGGACGAGGCACUUGUUGCCAUUGGUAAGUGUAACUCCCUACAAUAUCUAAACGUUAGUGGCUGUCAUCAAAUUGGUGAUGCUAGAAUAAUGGCCAUUGCAAGAGGUUGUCCUCAACUUACCUACCUAGACGGGAGUGUUCUCUAGGUAUAUUGAGAUGAUUUCUUUGGAGCAAUUCUUGACAACAUUUGUAGUUGAGGCCUUUAAAAUGGAAGAAUGUAUUUCACUAAUUUUUGUAUACAUUUCUUGUUUUGUAUUUAGUGAUUAAGGAAUCUGAAUUGGGCAUAAAUUAUGUUGUAAUAUGAUUUCUUAAGCCUAGACUAGUAGACUAAAUAUUGUAAUUACAAUUUGAGUAAUUAAUAAAAAUCUAUUUAUGUUACCUUA
Humulus lupulus (European hop) is the source of this 799-nucleotide long non-coding RNA. RefSeq lists it as uncharacterized. The transcript has 4 exons. The record is from RefSeq and is a predicted model, not a curated record. NCBI's taxonomy places the organism in Eukaryota, Viridiplantae, Streptophyta, Magnoliopsida, Rosales, Cannabaceae.